GAUGAACGCUGGCGGCGUGCUUAACACAUGCAAGUCGAACGGUGAAGCAGAGCUUGCUCUGUGGAUCAGUGGCGAACGGGUGAGUAACACGUGAGCAACCUGCCCCUGACUCUGGGAUAAGCGCUGGAAACGGCGUCUAAUACUGGAUAUGAGCUGCGACCGCAUGGUCAGCAGUUGGAAGGAUUUUUCGGUCUGGGAUGGGCUCACGGCCUAUCAGCUUGUUGGUGAGGUAAUGGCUCACCAAGGCGUCGACGGGUAGCCGGCCUGAGAGGGUGACCGGCCACACUGGGACUGAGACACGGCCCAGACUCCUACGGGAGGCAGCAGUGGGGAAUAUUGCACAAUGGGCGAAAGCCUGAUGCAGCAACGCCGCGUGAGGGAUGACGGCCUUCGGGUUGUAAACCUCUUUUAGCAGGGAAGAAGCGAAAGUGACGGUACCUGCAGAAAAAGCGCCGGCUAACUACGUG
This 467-nucleotide ribosomal RNA is filed under the name uncultured bacterium. RNAcentral describes it as "partial 16S ribosomal RNA". It matches the Rfam family "Bacterial small subunit ribosomal RNA", at positions 28 to 507 of the family's 1533-position model. The record is from RNAcentral.